UCGGGAAUUUUGGGCAAUGGGGGAAACCCUGACCCAGCAACGCCGCGUGAAGGAUGAAGUAUUUCGGUAUGUAAACUUCGAAAGAAUAGGAAGAAUAAAUGACGGUACUAUUUAUAAGGUCCGGCUAACUACGUGCCAGCAGCCGCGGUAAUACGUAGGGUGCAGGCGUUAAUCGGAAUUACUGGGCGUAAAGCGUGCGCAGGCGGCUCCUUAAGUCAGAUGUGAAAUCCCCGGGCUUAACCUGGGAACUGCGUUUGAAACUGAGGGGCUAGAGUGUGGAAGAGGGGGGUGGAAUUCCAGGUGUAGCAGUGAAAUGCGUAGAGAUCUGGAGGAACACCGAUGGCGAAGGCAGCCCCCUGGGCUAACACUGACGCUCAUGCACGAAAGCGUGGGGAGCAAACAGGAUUAGAUACCCGAGUAGUCCCUGAGCGGGCUGGCAAGGCGCAU
This 447-nucleotide ribosomal RNA is filed under the name uncultured bacterium. RNAcentral describes it as "bacterial SSU rRNA". It matches the Rfam family "Bacterial small subunit ribosomal RNA", at positions 355 to 825 of the family's 1533-position model. The record is from RNAcentral.